UGACCUGCACACAGCAGGGGGUUGGGACUGGAUGAGCACUGUGGUCCUUUGCAACCCAGGCCAUUCUGUGGUCGUGCGAUUCUGUGAGUUGCUGCCUAGCACACAGGCAGCAGGAGAGCUUGAAAAGCUGUGGGCUUUGCAGGUUGCAAGAUGCACCUUUACAGCAUUUGUCUCUUUGCUUGAUAAACAGUAGAGUUGCCCCAGGUAUAAUACUGUUAGAUAAAGCAAAGCGCCCUCCAAGGCAGAGGUAUUUAUAGUUCUGCUAUUAAAACGUGCCUUACAGCUCAUUUCUCUAACGUAAUGUUGGCAAAAUUAGGCUGAAAUUACUGCGAAAACUGCUUCUCACCAGAUUCUUUUUUAUAGUUCUGUCCUUUGAUUAGGUCGGGAGUUGGCGGGGUCAGCUUUCCUCGGUCGCCGCGAAUGAAGUGGAACAAGGAAGCUGCUGUGAGGGGAAGAGCCAACUGCUGCAAAACAGAGUGAGGUGGUCGUCCUUUUACAGCAUGAACUGUGUUAUCAGGAAGAUGUGAAAUAAAUGUGACAAAGCGAUACAGUCCUUUAAAUCUGCCUUAAUUUUACUGGGAACACUGGUGAGUGAGCCUGCAAUGGCUGAGAUGUCUGAAUGUCUCUGCACACAUGGGCGCACAGAAGGGCUGAUUGUGAUGUUACAUGUAACACUUUAGAUCUUUUCUGAAUUUUCUCAUUGCCAUUUCGGUCUCUUUUCAUCACCCUUUGCAUUGCUAAGCCUAUCUCUGCUCUGUCAGACCCAUGUCCCCUUGCACUUCAGCCCCUCCUGCGGAUGCUGGUCCAACACCAACACAAGGCCCUGCUCAUUGCUAGCUGGGAUUGCUCUUCCCAUCCAUUCAUUCUCUGCCUGUGCUACGUAACACUGGCAGAGGAUGCAGUGCUGAGCCAACUGUGGGAAAUAAAGAAGUGCAGAACUGUACUUUUUUCCUUGAAAAUAGAGGAUUUGCUCUGGUGAGGGCUGAUGAGUGCUCAGGGGGCUUCCUUGCUGCACUUCAGGUGGGCAGGGGCUCCUGGUAUUUCUUUGUCUUCCCUGGAAGCAGAUGGUCCAGUGCAGAGGGAAUCAGCACAGCACAGAGCAAGGGACUCUGGUUAAGACCAUGUGCAAACACACUGUAAGCUGUGCUUUCCUGGGGCAUUAAUCCAUGAAGAUAUUAAAGAAGCUACCAACAGCACCUCCCUACCAAGAGACCUGCUGGCAGGCCAUGGUCACUGGUGCAGAGUUUUCUACCCUGUCGUUUCCCGUCAGACCUAUUGCCUCCUCUGCUCAUAUGGGUCCUCAUGUCUGCUGGGGAUAUGUUGAGGUCAGGAGCAUUGUGGAAUUUUCCUCUAGAAAAAAUACGUUGGAGCAUUUUGUAACAUAGAAUGGUGUGACCAGUAGAGAGCUGCAGAGGUACAAGUACACACAGGUGUCAAUGGAGACACUGCCCAUAAGGGAAUCAUACAACCCCAGAUUCAAAAGAAUGGUUCCUCUCCUAUCUGCCUGCUUACCUUUGUAUUUACAUACAUUUGUUCUUUUUGUCUAUCUGCAGCAAAUGCAAGGCAAUACCAGGCACUGUGUGAAGCUUUGCAUGUGGUUGACCUGCUCUGCUCUAGGGGCUGUGUAUGGUUAGAGUGUGCCUUGAGAUCUACAGGAGGAACAGCACAAGCAGGUGUUUGUACUGCUUGCUUAUCACAGGCAUCUUCAGGUACCCUGGGCUGUAAUUGUAAGGGAUUAUUAAGUAGGAACUGUAUGAAAAUGGGGACUGUGUACCAAAGCUCAUGGCUCUUGGUCAGUACCCAAAUUAGAAACCUGGAGACUUCAGGUGGGGCCAGCUGUGGGUUGUCUGUGAGCAGUGUUUGAUCUCGUGGUGUACUCCUCAAUGGCAGAGACUUCUGUUUAACAUUUUUGUUCCUUCCAGUCUCUCUUGUUCAUUUAAAGGAAAUCCUCUUUCUCCUUGACAGCUGCACAUGAUUACCCAAACCCAGCUAAAUCUUGAGUGAGACCAGUUCCUCCACAAACCAGAUGUGAAACCAAGCAUCUGACCUGAUGUCACAUUUGAAAAUAGCAGGGCUGGAAGGAGGAGGCAUGGCAAUGAGAAGUUUGGGUCUGUUUUAGAGGUCAGAAGCAAGCCCACUAACCUGCACUUGGCAGGUGUGUUGUGCAUCACCCUGCCUCCAGUGAGCAGGAUGGGCUUGCUUCCAUCCACACUGCCUUCCUUCCAUCCACACUGCCUUCCAUCCACGCUGCCUUCCAUCCACACUGCCUUCCUUCCAUCCACACUGCCUUCCUUCCAUCCACACUGCCUUCCAUCCACACUGCCUUCCUUCCAUCCACACUGCCUUCCAUCCACACUGCCUUCCUUCCAUCCACACUGCCUUCCAUCCACACUGCCUUCCUUCCAUCCACACUGCCUUCCUUCCAUCCACACUGCCUUCCUUCCAUCCUCACUGCCUCUCAGCAGCCAUGGGUAGGAGUGUGUGCUCAGCUCUUUGUUCUCGCCCAGCAGGAGGCAGGUUCCUGCUUCCCGUGUGCCUGGGUGCUCUUUAAUCUAUUGUUUGUCUUAUAAAAUGGCUGAAUAUAACAAAGAUCUUUUGGUUUAUUGAAACUGCCUAGGAAAAAAAAUUAUUUAAACUAAUACAC
Molecule: non-coding RNA, 2644 nt
Organism: Meleagris gallopavo (turkey)
Lineage: Eukaryota; Metazoa; Chordata; Aves; Galliformes; Phasianidae
Source: RefSeq, a predicted model, not a curated record